AAGGGUUAUUGAGAAAAUACUCUGAACUAACGCGGUUCAACAGAGAAGAAGAAAUUGGAAGCCUCUGCGAAGCGUGAAGGACCUUCUUUCAUUCUUUCUGCAUCUUAUCACCUUCUUUCUUUCUUGUUUUUUUCUUCUCUCUUAGCAAAGCUUCGGACCCAUAAAACCUCGAUCUUUUCUUUAUUUUAUUUCAUUUUCGCUUUUUUAAUUUUCAUUUGGAUUUGAUUUGUGAAUUAUUGUUACUUUCCCUGCAAGCUUCCCCUGAUUUGCACGUUCGAGUAAAAAAGAAAAGAUUUUUUUUUCUUUUUUCUCACUCUUUUGGGGGAAUUCAACGUUGUAUGAUGGUGUAAGAUUUGUUUGAUCUUUUUGUGGUAAAAAAGAAAACACUUGACUCUUUUUGGGUAUUUUGAAGUUUACAAAGGAAAAAGCUGAAAGCUUGUUUUGCUUUGUGAUUUUCAUGACAUAGUGGAUCAUGGCGCUGUUGCUGAAAUUUAAAGUUUUGAGCAUGGUUCUUAUCUGUAAAUAGAUUAAUGGGGAUUCUUAGAAGUUGUUGGUUGUUAUUAAUUAGGCUCUAGUUUGGUUUUAUUGGGUUUUGUCUUCUGCAGGUUUUUAGAAGGAAAUUUUGUUAUACCUUUUAUAUUCUGUCAUGGCCUUGUAAUUCACGAGCGGAUUGAUCAUUGGCUUGGUUUGAAGCUUUUGGAAGGAGUUAAUUCGUUUUGGGGUUUUGAAUUCGGUAGAGGGUGAGAUUUGUGACUGAGGAGAUUGGGAUUUGAGUGAUGGAUGAAGCUCAGAGCAGUUCCAAUUCCCUACCACCUUUUCUGGCAAAGACUUAUGAGAUGGUGGAUGAUCCUUCCACUGAUCCCAUUGUUUCUUGGAGUGCCUCUAAUAGAAGUUUCGUUGUGUGGAAUCCUCCGGAUUUUGCUAGGGAUUUGCUGCCUAGAUUCUUCAAGCACAAUAACUUCUCAAGCUUUAUCAGGCAGCUGAACACUUAUGGUUUUAAGAAGGUUGAUCCUGAACAAUGGGAAUUUGCAAAUGAUGAUUUUGUAAGAGGUCAACCACAUCGCAUGAAGAAUAUCCACAGACGAAAACCAGUUCAUAGUCAUUCUUUACAGAAUCUUCAGGCGCAAGCUCCACUGACAGAAUCAGAAAGGAUGAGUUUACAAGAUGAAAUAGAGAGGCUUAACCGUGAAAAAGAACAGCUUCUUAUGGAGCUACAGAGACAUGAACAGGAGUGGCAAGAAUAUGAGAUUCGAAUACACUGCUCGAAAGACCGUGUGGAGAAGAUGGAGCAGAAGCAUCAAAAGAUGAUCUCUUCUGUUUCCAGUGUACUGCAGAAACCUGGAAUUGACUUGAAUCAAUUGGCAUUGCUAGAAACCACAGAUAGAAAACGAAGGUUACCAAGAAGUGGCUAUCUUAGUGAUGAAACUAACAUUGAAGAUACAACUGAGACCGAACAAAUGUUACCCACAGAAAAUUCACAGGACACCUCCGUUUUGACAAUAAUCACAGAGCAGUUGGAUCAGCUCGAGUCAUCCAUGGUAUUUUGGGAAACCAUUUCAAAUGAUAUUUCUGACACGACCAUUCACAUUCAUUCAAGCUUGGAUUUUGAUGAAUCUACAAGUUGUGCUGAUAGUCUGUCUAUAUCUUGCCCCCUACUAGAUAUUGAAGUUCUGCCUAAGUCAUCUGGAAUUGACAUGAACUCUGAGCCUGCUUCUGCUCCUGUUUCCGAGCCUGCUUCCGCAUCAAAAGAACAAGCUGCCGGCACAACCCCUGUGGUGGUUGGUGUUAAUGAUGUAUUUUGGGAACAAUUCUUGACAGAGAAUCCUGGUUCAUCAGAAGCACAGGAAGUACAAUCAGAAAGAAAGUAUCAUGAUACUAGCAAGGGUGAAGGAAAACCUAGUGACCCAGGAAAGUUUUGGUGGAACAUGCGAAAUACAAGUAAUCUUCCAGAACAAAUAGGUCAUGUUAGUCAAGCAGAAAAAACAUAGUGACAAUUGAAAUUGAUUAUUUCUUCUAGAUUGUGAUGCCUCGGAAUCAGAUGUAAUAAAACUAGGUGCCACAUUGCACAAUAACCACAACUGCAAUUUGAAGCAUUGGUGUGGUCAGUUUCAGCUUGUUCCUUUGUCUGCUUUGAUCCUUGCUGAUGUUACUAUGCUGUAUUAACAGAAGCCACCUGCAGAUACCUCUGUUACCAUUCUUCCACUAAUGUCUCUUAUAUUGAUGGAAAUCACCUUGCCACUGAAGUUUAGCGAUCAAUUCGAAAUCGCAAAACACCAGUAGUGCAUGGCUACACUGGUUUAGAAACUAGAGUUGAAAGAGGAUGUUGUUUUUCUAUAUAUAAGAGAGUGCUUGAAACUUGCAUAGUAUAGUUUGGAUACUUGUUCCUUGAUUUUCUUCAUCCAAUAAUCUCGAGGUGAAAUGUAUGAAUUCAAGAUAGAAUAGCAUCCAAAUCAUUCAAUUGAUGAAGUGAAAAUCAACCAUAUGCCGAUCGUCCCUCAAUGGGGUGGAUGAAUGAGUUUUUGGUUUAUUUAA
RNA transcript from Arachis duranensis, 2532 nucleotides. It is a transcript of the gene named heat stress transcription factor A-4c, with no coding region annotated. NCBI's taxonomy places the organism in Eukaryota, Viridiplantae, Streptophyta, Magnoliopsida, Fabales, Fabaceae. The record is from RefSeq and is a predicted model, not a curated record. The transcript has 3 exons.